CAGUAGCCGCGGUAAAACGAGGGGGGCAAGCGUUGUUCGGAAUUAUUGGGCGUAAAGGGUGCGUAGGCGGUUUGGCAAGUUUGGUGUGAAAUCUUUGGGCUCAACUCGAAGUCUGCAUCGAAAACUGCCGGGCUUGAGUAUGGGAGAGGUGAGUGGAAUUUCCGGUGUAGCGGUGAAAUGCGUAGAUAUCGGAAGGAACACCUGUGGCGAAAGCGGCUCACUGGACCAUAACUGACGCUGAUGCACGAAAGCUAGGGGAGCAAACAGGAUUAGAGACCCCCGUAGUCCCUGUCUCUUAUAA
RNAcentral lists this ribosomal RNA (301 nucleotides) under uncultured bacterium. RNAcentral's name for it is "partial 16S ribosomal RNA". It matches the Rfam family "Bacterial small subunit ribosomal RNA", at positions 509 to 809 of the family's 1533-position model. The record is from RNAcentral.